CUCAAGCAGGGGUGGGGAAAUUGAAGCCGUGCUUUGUAGGUAUUGCCAGUCCAUUUUACAAUUUUUUUAUUAAUUUAAAUUAUACACUUUAUAUAAAGAUCAAUCUUACUCCUUUACUUUAUUAAACCCGCGCGUCUGUUUUGACGAAUCAUAGACCUUAUACUCCAUGCCGUUAUUAUAUACCAUAGACGUAAUCGUUCCAGUUUACUUCUAGUUGAAUAGGUCACUCGAAAGUUUGCCGGCGAAAUUUUAUGGAAGUUCCUAAUAGUAGUUUGGAGGUUACUGGCCUGUAUUUAAGAAAUAGAAAACGACUCGGGUGCGUUUAUGGUGUGAUAAUGCACGCGGGGAAUGUUGGGAGAAUACGAGAGAAGCGUCACGUUACCAAUGACCCGAGUGCAUUGUCACACCAUAAACGCACGAGACAAGUUUUUCUAUUUCUUUUAUAAUAUAAGUAGAAGAUAUUACAUAGUAAACAAUUUUACUCAAAAGAUCGACUUUGAAAUUCUCCUAACAUUGAAAUUCUCCUAACAAUUCUCCUAAGCAUUCUAAAUAGUUGAUGUUUGGAGGGACAACAAGUUAUAACGAGUGAGCUAUAUAUAUAUUAAAAGAUGCUUUAUUAAAAUUGUUGUGUUUAGGGACUUUAGGAAUGUAGGAAAACUUCCUAGAUGCCAUAUUCGGCAUAUUGUUUAUUUUUUGGCCCUCCAAACAAGCGACUAGACCCAGUCCUCUGCUCGAUUGGGAAAUGGAUGCAUGAUGGAACGCGUUCCAAUUAAGCACGCUUAGCAAAAUGGCAACUUUUAUUCCAUAUCACGUUAUUAUAAUCAACCAAUUAAAUGACCAGAAUUUAAUAAGGUGUUAUUUAAAUCAUACUAAUUAACUCAUACUAAUACUAGAAAAAUGUCUUAAAAACAGUUCGAAUAAGAUGAAAUGAAAGCUAACUCUAAUUUCUAACAUUUCUAAUUUCUAACAUUCAACGACGAUGUGAAACAGUGGUCUAACUUUUCAGGGGCAUGCAGUACAACAUACUGUCUGAACAACUUGUUUAUAUUUUACCUAAUACCCUAGCCUAAUACCAUAAUAGGCGGUUAUUCGGCUGAAAAAUCAAUUUGCAGUAGAUAUUUGUGUGAAUAUGCGCCCUAGCUCCAGGAAGAGGUUUUUCCCCGUGAAAACUCUUUCAUCGUUUAGGCAAAAGUUAUGCAAAUUAGACCACUGUGAAAUACAAAGUUAUAGAUCUAACUAAUGAAAAGUUAAUAUCCAAGUAAUUAAAAACUUUACUAGUUUAAUUAAAAUAGCGCGGAGAUUGAUUGAAAGAAUACCAUGAAGAAAGAAAUAUAAGUGACGCUCAGUAUGAUACUCGAACUGCAUUCUGGGCAAAUGCGGACACAUUUUGUGGCAUCACAUUUAAAAGAACACUCUCCACUUGUACAAUUCUGAGUACAUUUUUGGACUCCAGCGGCACAUGCCAUGGAACAAUCCUUGGUACUACAUGUCUGCAUGCAUGUUGUGGCAUCACAGCUUAAGGAACAACUGUUGUUGGUGCAGGUUUGUUGGCAGGUUUCUGAAUCACACAUCAUUUUUCCAUAACCACUUUGGAUACAAGAUUUAUUAGCUUGGCAUAACAUUUGAUCACAAUUCUCGUCAGUACAACUUUGAGUACAUGUCUUCGUCGCAUUGCAUUUCAGGUGAGAACAUUCCGUACACGUCUGGUAACAGGAUUCAGCUUGGCACGAUAAAUUAGAACAUGCAGUGCUACAAGCUUGGUUACAAUCUUUACUAUCAUAACACGACAACGCGCAAGUCCCUGCCGUACAAGUCUGCGCACAAUCACCGUAACUGCAGGAAAAAUCGCAUGCCGUGUUCGGCGUUACGCAAACUUGUCUACACACAUCUUGACCUGCAGUCGCCGUGCCAUUUGUACAAACAGCUGCAGAAGUGAAAUUAUUACAGCAAAAUAUGACAAGAACCAAUAAUGAAACUCCUGAUGUGUAAUUCAUCU
Non-coding RNA from Paramuricea clavata, 1996 nucleotides. The record is from the annotation of a GenBank genome assembly. Lineage: Eukaryota; Metazoa; Cnidaria; Anthozoa; Malacalcyonacea; Plexauridae.